UACGAAGGGGGCUAGCGUUGUUCGGAAUUACUGGGCGUAAAGGGCGCGUAGGCGGCUUGGCAAGUGGAAGGUGAAAUCCCUCGGCUUAACCGAGGAACUGCCCUCCAAACUGCCUCGCUUGAGACCGGGAGAGGUGAGUGGAAUUCCCAGUGUAGCGGUGAAAUGCGUAGAUAUUGGGAGGAACACCAGUGGCGAAGGCGGCUCACUGGACCGGUACUGACGCUGAUGCGCGAAAGCGUGGGGAGCAAACGGG
This 253-nucleotide ribosomal RNA is filed under the name uncultured bacterium. RNAcentral's name for it is "partial 16S ribosomal RNA". It matches the Rfam family "Bacterial small subunit ribosomal RNA", at positions 524 to 776 of the family's 1533-position model. The record is from RNAcentral.